ACGUAGGGGGCAAGCGUUAUCCGGAUUUACUGGGUGUAAAGGGAGCGUAGACGGCGAUGCAAGUCUGAAGUGAAAUACCCGGGCUCAACCUGGGAACUGCUUUGGAAACUGUGUUGCUGGAGUGCUGGAGAGGUAAGCGGAAUUCCUAGUGUAGCGGUGAAAUGCGUAGAUAUUAGGAAGAACACCAGUGGCGAAGGCGGCUUACUGGACAGUAACUGACGUUCAGGCUCGAAAGCGUGGGGAGCAAACAG
Molecule: ribosomal RNA, 251 nt
Filed under: uncultured bacterium
Lineage: Bacteria
Description: partial 16S ribosomal RNA
Rfam family: Bacterial small subunit ribosomal RNA
Source: RNAcentral